GGGUGAGGAACGCGUAGUAAUCUACCCUCCGGCGGGGGACAACAUCCGAAAGGAAUGCUAAUACCGCGUAAGACCACGACCACUACGGUGGAUGUGGUUAAAGAUGGCCUCUUCUUGAAAGCUAUCACCAGAGGAUGAGCCUGCGUCCCAUCAGCUUGUUGGUGAGGUAAUGGCUUACCAAGGCGAAGACGGGUAGCUGGUCUGAGAGGAUGAUCAGCCACACUGGCACUGGAACACGGGCCAGACUCCUACGGGAGGCAGCAGUGAGGAAUAUUGGGCAAUGGGCGCAAGCCUGACCCAGCCACGCCGCGUGUGUGAUGAAGGCCUUCGGGUCGUAAAGCACUGUGGGGAGAGACGAAAAAUUUCCGUUCAAAUAGGGCGGAGAGAUUGACGGUACCUCCUUAGCAAGCACCGGCUAACUCUGUGCCAGCAGCCGCGGUAAUACAGAGGGUGCAAACGUUGCUCGGAUUUACUGGGCGUAAAGCGCGUGUAGGCGGACUCGCAAGUCGGUUGUGAAAUCCCUGGGCUCAACCUAGGAACUGCAUCCGAAACUGCUUGUCUUGAGUAAUGGAGAGGGUGGCGGAAUUCCCGGUGUAGAGGUGAAAUUCGUAGAUAUCGGGAGGAACAUCAGUGGCGAAGGCGGCCACCUGGACAUUUACUGACGCUGAGACGCGAAAGCGUGGGGAGCAAACAGGAUAGAUACCCUGGUAGUCCACGCCGUAAACGAUGA
This 730-nucleotide ribosomal RNA is filed under the name uncultured bacterium. RNAcentral describes it as "bacterial SSU rRNA". It matches the Rfam family "Bacterial small subunit ribosomal RNA", at positions 104 to 812 of the family's 1533-position model. The record is from RNAcentral.